UGGGGAAUAUUGCACAAUGGGGGAAACCCUGAUGCAGCGACGCCGCGUGAGCGAUGAAGGCUUUCGAGUCGUAAAGCUCUGUCCUAUGGGAAGAUAAUGACGGUACCAUAGAAGAAAGCCCCGGCUAAAUACGUGCCAGCAGCCGCGGUAAUACGUAAGGGGCGAGCGUUGUCCGGAAUUAUUGGGCGUAAAGAGUGCGUAGGCGGCAAAUUAAGUCAGAUGUGAAAACUAAGGGCUCAACCCAUAGAUUGCAUCUGAAACUGAUAUGCUUGAGUCAAGGAGAGGAAAGUGGAAUUCCUAGUGUAGCGGUGGAAUGCGUAGAUAUUAGGAGGAAUACCGGUGGCGAAGGCGACUUUCUGGACUUGAACUGACGCUGAGGCACGAAAGCGUGGGGAGCAAACAGG
Molecule: ribosomal RNA, 404 nt
Filed under: Verrucomicrobiota bacterium
Lineage: Bacteria; Pseudomonadati; Verrucomicrobiota
Description: Verrucomicrobia bacterium partial 16S ribosomal RNA
Rfam family: Bacterial small subunit ribosomal RNA
Source: RNAcentral